AGUUUGAUCCUGGCUCAGGAUGAACGCUGGCGGCGUGCCUAAUACAUGCAAGUCGAACGAGGUGCUUGAGUAGCAAUACGAGAGUAUCCUAGUGGCGAACGGGUGAGUAACGCGUUGGUGACCUACCCCAAAGUGUGGGAUAACAGUUCGAAAGGACUGCUAAUACCGCAUGUGGUUAUUGGAUUUAGAAACUGAUAACUAAAGGAGCAAUUCGCUUUGGGAGGGACCUGCGUCCCAUCAGCUAGUUGGUGAGGUAAUGGCUCACCAAGGCUACGACGGGUAGGGGACCUGAGAGGGUGACCCCCCACAAUGGAACUGAAACACGGUCCAUACACCUACGGGUGGCAGCAGUAGGGAAUAUUGCACAAUGGGCGAAAGCCUGAUGCAGCAACGCCGCGUGUGCGAUGAAGGCCUUCGGGUCGUAAAGCACUUUUCUGAGGGAUGAGCAAGGACAGUACCUCAGGAAUAAGUCUCGGCUAACUACGUGCCAGCAGCCGCGGUAAAACGUAGGAGGCAAGCGUUAUCCGGAUUCACUGGGCGUAAAGCGCGUGCAGGCGGUUCGGUAAGUUGGGCGUGAAAUCUCCUGGCUUAACUAGGAGAGGUCGUUCAAUACUACCGGACUUGAGAGUGAUAGAGGAAGAUGGAAUUCCCGGUGUAGUGGUGAAAUGCGUAGAUAUCGGGAGGAACACCAGUGGCGAAGGCGAUCUUCUGGUCUGUUUCUGACACUCAGACGCGACAGCUAGGGUAGUAAACGGGAUUAGAGACCCCGGUAAUCCUAGCCGUAAACGAUGUAAACUUGGCGUUGGUGGGUUAAACUCCAUCAGUGCCGCAG
RNAcentral lists this ribosomal RNA (832 nucleotides) under uncultured Chloroflexota bacterium. RNAcentral's name for it is "bacterial SSU rRNA". It matches the Rfam family "Bacterial small subunit ribosomal RNA", at positions 10 to 851 of the family's 1533-position model. Lineage: Bacteria; Bacillati; Chloroflexota. The record is from RNAcentral.